RNAcentral lists this ribosomal RNA (253 nucleotides) under uncultured bacterium. Its description in RNAcentral is "partial 16S ribosomal RNA". It matches the Rfam family "Bacterial small subunit ribosomal RNA", at positions 524 to 776 of the family's 1533-position model. The record is from RNAcentral.
UACGAACCGGACAAACGUUAUUCGGAAUUAUUGGGCUUAAAGGGUGCGUAGGCGGCCGCGCAAGUCGGGUGUGAAAUCCCUCGGCUCAACCGAGGAAUUGCGCCCGAUACUGCGUGGCUAGAGGGAGACAGAGGCGAGCGGAACUGAUGGUGGAGCGGUGAAAUGCGUUGAUAUCAUCAGGAACACCGGUGGCGAAGGCGGCUCGCUGGGUCUCUUCUGACGCUCAGGCACGAAAGCUAGGGUAGCGAACAGG